This 253-nucleotide ribosomal RNA is filed under the name uncultured bacterium. RNAcentral describes it as "partial 16S ribosomal RNA". It matches the Rfam family "Bacterial small subunit ribosomal RNA", at positions 524 to 776 of the family's 1533-position model. The record is from RNAcentral.
UACGUAGGGUGCAAGCGUUAAUCGGAAUUACUGGGCGUAAAGCGUGCGCAGGCGGUUGUGCAAGACCGAUGUGAAAUCCCCGGGCUUAACCUGGGAAUGGCAUUGGUGACUGCACGGCUAGAGUGUGUCAGAGGGGGGUAGAAUUCCACGUGUAGCAGUGAAAUGCGUAGAGAUGUGGAGGAAUACUGAUGGCGAAGGCAGCCCCCUGGGAUAACACUGACGCUCAUGCACGAAAGCGUGGGGAGCAAACAGG